Pezoporus flaviventris is the source of this 864-nucleotide long non-coding RNA. RefSeq lists it as uncharacterized. NCBI's taxonomy places the organism in Eukaryota, Metazoa, Chordata, Aves, Psittaciformes, Psittacidae. The record is from RefSeq and is a predicted model, not a curated record. The transcript is spliced from 4 exons.
GUCCUGCAGCAUGGAGAGAAUGUUGUACAAUAAGUUGCUGCACAUCCUUCAACUCAGAUGCGCAAAGUCUGCAACACCUCAAGCUAAAACCAGAUAUUACAUGGACCACUCACAAGAUCCCCUCUGUGUUAAUCCGCAAAGUAUAGGAGUUGUUACAGCUCUCAGCUACGCAGCCUGGCUCUGAACCUCAGCCUGCAACAACCUGGGCUUUUAGCUCUGGAGGCACCUACUUCAAUCCCAGUGUGUCAGCCAAGACAGAGGCCAUAACAAACUUCCCUAACAUGUUCUAGUCCUACCCCAGAGAGCUCCUUCUGAGGGCUGAACAACAUUACUCUGUACUGAACCACAGCAGAUGAAGAAAGUAACAUUUCAUCAUCCUAGCAGUUCAGUGAAUACAAUUCCUGCAUUUAUCAAGUACCAGAUACCUGACACCAAGGCAAACAAACAGGCAAAUAUGAGUGUGUUGCUGUAUCUUUCAGCUCCGUCCUUACACAUCUCCCCAGGGGUAAAAAAAACUUAUGAAUGCUAAAGUGUUCUCAAAAGGUUUUCUUUUUAGCUAGAUUAAUAGCUCUUUAGAGGGCUCCUUCACCACAGGCUCCUUUGGACACCGAUGUUUUGUUGAACUUGUACGCCCUUCCUCUGAAAUGGAGGUUAUUCGAUAACCAUUUACAACACUCAGUGCAUUGAUGUACAAGAGUGCAGAGCACCGGUUACAGAUUUCUGGAAGUGUAUCCUCAGCCAGAUCACAAAUAAACUUCUGAGAUAUUUGCUUCUGGGGAUGCCUGACCUGGAAAGAUAGGAUCAGGUUAAACAUGAGGCACUUGGAACAAGGGGCUUCACUCCAAGGCACCAUCCCUACUCAGG